Molecule: long non-coding RNA, 1517 nt
Filed under: Homo sapiens (human)
Lineage: Eukaryota; Metazoa; Chordata; Mammalia; Primates; Hominidae
Description: HSALNT0357349
Source: RNAcentral
AGUUCGUGAAGAAUGGGUAUUAAAUCUUUAGAUGUUCAGUGGAAUUCAUUCAUGAAGACAUCUGAGACUGCACUUUUCUUUCCCUGGCACCAGAGAGAUGAGAGGAGAAACCUGACAAUAUCCCCAGCCUGAGCCAUCACCAGACUCCAUCCUCCUGAGUGCCCCUGAACCAGCAUCACCGCUGAACACUCUGGAAGACCUACAGAAACUGAGAGAAGGUUCUGCAAAGAGCUGUAAGGAUGCACUGAAUAUUUGCCGUUGCGGAUGAGGCUGCUGGAGCAUUGGAGAUCCAUUCAUCAUGCCAAAGUGUAGCUCAGGGAGUCACCUCCAUGGAAAAUGUGUGCUUUCCAAACGUGGCUACCAGGUCGUUGUGGAAUUCCAUCCAGAAGCACCUUGUUCUUCCAUCGCCAUCAUUCUGGACAAGGCAGAAUCCACAUUCCCCAUAUUACUAACUUUAAAGCAGAAAUGUUACGCCUUUGCCUGUAAUUGAAAUUGUAGUCAUUUGAAAAUCAAAUAUUGCUAAAAUUUGAUGUUAGAGGGAUAGAUGAUCAAUAAUUGGGUUGAAAGAAUACUGUCUCUCAUUAAGCAAAAUGAAAAUGUUUUCAGAGAUUUGUGAAAUGUUUUGCUAUGAAGACUUUUCACUGCAAAGCACCCACUUUGUUUAAAGCAAUAAGGCAACGUGCUGGAUGAACGUAAAGAAGUUUUCAACACAGAACUUCACAAUAAAAAUGGUAAGAAAUGCACACAAACCAUGGAAAUCAAGUGCUGUAAGAGUGUGUUUUAUAAAAGUGGCUGAAGGAAAUGCUUUGGACAUUUCUAUUAAUUAUAGCCAAUGUUCAUGGAUCUGUAUGCUGAGUACACACCUAGGCAUUUGCAUUUCAUUAUUUCUUUGAACUCUUUCAAAAGCCCUGAGGUCUUUAUGAUUAUCUCCAUUUCACAAAUGAUGAUACAGAGGAACAGGGAAAGCAAGUGAUUUGCUGGCUGUCAUAGAGCCACGUUGGGGAGCCAAGAUUUAAAACCCAGGCAAUUACAUUCCAGAACUGUAUAGCGAUUGCACAUUGGAUGGAUGGAGUCAAGUAAUUCCUUCUACUGGACGCAGUGGUGGUGAGGAUGGGGAAAGGAUGAAAGCAACAAAAAUAAAACAUAAGCAGGGAGGCUUUCCUCCAGGUAGUUUUCAGUUUUUCUUUUAUAUAGAGAGUAGGGGGAAAUUCAUCCUGCUUCUUCCUUGGAAAUACAGACUCUGUGUAUGAAGACAUCUUUUAUAAUCCCAAUUUAGCAACAGCCUCGAGCUGUUCUUAACUUGGGAAAUGCUGUGUGGCUGACUCAAACUGACAGUGAUGAACAUAUUUUGGCUGACACCUUACCAAAAUUUGGGUUUAUUUAUUUCAUUAAUAUUUUUCUUCAGGCAAAAUAUAUUUGUCAUGCCCUUUCUAUUUAUAACCUGGAAAUGUUUCCUGUUUAGAGUCAGACUCUUUGUGACAGGCCACCAAGAAGCAGAAGACAGAUGGUUUAGAUGC